CCUUCUUAGUCGUGCUUCUCAAGAUUUAUUUCAGUUACUACUCAAAGUAAGGCAAAACAGAGUAUAAAAUGUCAAGAUUUGAAGGAGAAGCUUCAUCAAGUUUUACCUUUAGUGUGCAGUCGAAGAUAUCUGCAUUCAUGUAAACAAGAAC
This is a long non-coding RNA of Salvia splendens (bonfire salvia), 151 nucleotides long. RefSeq lists it as uncharacterized. NCBI's taxonomy places the organism in Eukaryota, Viridiplantae, Streptophyta, Magnoliopsida, Lamiales, Lamiaceae. The record is from RefSeq and is a predicted model, not a curated record. The transcript has 3 exons.